CUACGUGCCAGCAGCCGCGGUAAUACGUAGGGUGCGAGCGUUAAUCGGAAUUACUGGGCGUAAAGCGAGCGCAGACGGUUACUUAAGCAGGAUGUGAAAUCCCCGGGCUCAACCUGGGAACUGCGUUCUGAACUGGGUGACUAGAGUGUGUCAGAGGGAGGUAGAAUUCCACGUGUAGCAGUGAAAUGCGUAGAGAUGUGGAGGAAUACCGAUGGCGAAGGCAGCCUCCUGGGAUAACACUGACGUUCAUGCUCGAAAGCGUGGGUAGCAAACAGGAUUAGAUACCCUGGUAGUCCACGCCCUAAACGAUGUCAAUUAGCUGUUGGGCAACUUGAUUGCUUAGUAGCGUAGCUAACGCGUGAAAUUGACCGCCUGGGGAGUACGACCGCAAGGUUGAAACUCAAAGGAAUUGACGGGGGCCCGCACAAGCGGUGGAGCAUGUGGUUUAAUUCGAAGCAACGCGAAGAACCUUACCAGGUCUUGACAU
RNAcentral lists this ribosomal RNA (487 nucleotides) under uncultured bacterium. Its description in RNAcentral is "bacterial SSU rRNA". It matches the Rfam family "Bacterial small subunit ribosomal RNA", at positions 501 to 987 of the family's 1533-position model. The record is from RNAcentral.